GAUGAACGCUAGCUACAGGCUUAACACAUGCAAGUCGCGGGGUAACAUCUGGUAGAGCUUGCUCUUCCAGGAUGACGACCGGCGCACGGGUGAGUAACGCGUAUCCAACCUGGCCCAUACCACGGGAUAGCCCGUCGAAAGGCGGAUUAAUACCGUAUGCUGUCAUUAAGAUGCAUAUAUUGAUGACGAAAGGACUGGCGGUAUGGGAUGGGGAUGCGUCUGAUUAGCUUGUUGGCGGGGUAACGGCCCACCAAGGCGACGAUGCGUAGGGGUUCUGAGAGGAAGGUCCCCCACACUGGUACUGAGACACGGACCAGACUCCUACGGGAGGCAGCAGUGAGGAAUAUUGGUCAAUGGGCGAGAGCCUGAACCAGCCAAGUCGCGUGAGGGAAGACGGUCCUACGGAUUGUAAACCUCUUUUGUCGGGGAGUAAUAGGCGGGACGUGUCCUGCUGUGAGAGUACCCGAAGAAAAAGCAUCGGCUAACUCCGUGCCAGCAG
This 499-nucleotide ribosomal RNA is filed under the name uncultured bacterium. RNAcentral describes it as "bacterial SSU rRNA". It matches the Rfam family "Bacterial small subunit ribosomal RNA", at positions 28 to 514 of the family's 1533-position model. The record is from RNAcentral.